AAAAGGAAACCUUGUUUAGGAUGGAGUUGGGAGGCCGGCAGGGGGAGCUCUCAUGCUCAGCGCUAGUCAACGACAGAGCCAGCAGGAAGAGACGCACCUUGCACAGGAUAGGCUACCUUAGCUAGUACUUUACUGCUCCAGCAGGAGGAAGACCUGGCAACAGCCCAGCCAAUGGGAGGCAGUCACAGCUCAGCCAAUGAGAAGCCACUGUACUUCAGACUCCCAGUUUCCUCCAGUGGACUUUUCGUUUAGAAGAGCCUUCCCUACUUCCCCCUUUCCCCUGGAAAAGAACAUUCCUCUCCUUUGUUCUCCAGACUAGCCUGUGGUUCUGCCGAAGCUUGCUGGUCCUAGGUUGUUGCAAUUCUCUGCUACUCCCAGAUAAACCCAUUUUUCCUGGCUGCGAGGUUGUCGGUGUGCCUUUGUACCUCAGCCAACUACCCUUUGAGACCCCCCAAACUCAGGAAGUUUAAUCAGUCCGGUCUCUGGCCCUUAAAUCAAUCAGGACCUCAUUGAAGUUCUGCAUGAAUCUCCCAAAGAGUAGCCAGCUACCAAGUUUUCACCAUCCUGCCACCUCGGUCCUGGCUUCUGCUUUGUGCACUGCAACCUGGCUUCCUGGGGCGUGAGGAAAAGCAUGUGAAGAUACAGCAACAGAGCAGCAUCUUCAAGCCAGAAGAAAGUCCUCACCAAAACCAACCCUGGAACCUUGAUCUUGGACUUCUAACCUCCAGAACAAUUAGAAAAUACAUGUUUGUUGUUUAAGCCACCUAGUCUAUGGUAUUUUGUUAUGGAGGCCCAGCAGACUAAUGUACCCAUGUUGUUUUAAUUAACUUUAGUUAGAUAAGUAAGAGUUACUUUGAAUCUCCUUGUAAAAAAAAAAAAAAAUCAUUAAAGAGUUUUUAACCAACAUCUC
This is a long non-coding RNA of Felis catus (domestic cat), 910 nucleotides long. RefSeq lists it as uncharacterized. The transcript has 4 exons. NCBI's taxonomy places the organism in Eukaryota, Metazoa, Chordata, Mammalia, Carnivora, Felidae. The record is from RefSeq and is a predicted model, not a curated record.